AACUGAUACUACCUGCGGGAACCUGCGGAGGGAUCAUUAACGUGCCCCAGUCGGGACGCUGCGUACAUACGUGCGCGCGUCUCCGCACCGGCCACCCGUGUCUACCGAACCUCAGUUGCCUCGGCGGGCCCGCCCCCUUCCGGGGGCCGCCGGGGGCGCCCCCACGCGCCCCGGGCCCGUGCCCGCCGCAGGACCUCUGGAACUCGUGUGAAGAAGUGUCUCUGUUCUGAAGUCACGAUC
This 240-nucleotide unclassified non-coding RNA is filed under the name soil metagenome. RNAcentral describes it as "partial contains 5.8S ribosomal RNA, internal transcribed spacer 2, and large subunit ribosomal RNA". The record is from RNAcentral.